RNAcentral lists this long non-coding RNA (392 nucleotides) under Sinocyclocheilus anshuiensis. RNAcentral describes it as "lncRNA (ENSSANG00000034807.1)". The record is from RNAcentral. Lineage: Eukaryota; Metazoa; Chordata; Actinopteri; Cypriniformes; Cyprinidae.
CACCCUUGUGUCAGUUAAUAGCAAGAAGUAAAAUUCCGGAGCUCAGCAGAUCCUUCAAAAAUAUCUUCUCUCCACAAAGAACAUAACAGCACAUGCAUUUGGAAGAACAUGACGAUCCACUGGCUGGGAUCUCUGUGGUGGAAUGCUGCUGGGACCCCCUUCUAACCUCCCCACAACCCUCCCCUUGAGUUCACCCACCCACCCAUUAGGAAUUCCAGCAGGGCAUUGUGGGUGGGAUGAAUGGGGUCAGAGCCAAGGAAACAAUACAGACAUGUAUCUCUCUCUUAUUCUGUUUAGGAGUGGGUGAAGAGAGCAAGAGGGGCCCUAAAUCAAAUAAACAUCACAGCCCCGAUUGCUUCAUCUCUGCUUUCCAAGAAAACCAGACAUCCAGG